AUGCCCCACCUCCCUCUUCUUUCCUCGCCUCUCCCUUUUUUUUCCAACCGUGCCGCCAGAGUGCCGCAUCGCUAGACCUAUGCUCCUGCCUCCCCUUUCUUCCCCAGCCAUUCUGUGGAGCACCGUACCGUCGAACCUACAUCUUAGUCAGAUUGAGCAGUCUUUUUUCCUAUCUGGUGAGUAUUAGCGACCGUGAUGAUGAUAGAGCCAUCACCACGUGUCAUUCCCUCCUAUUUAGAUCUUUAAUAUUUCAAUUUAGAUUUAUCAUAUUUAUUUAAAUUAAUAAUAUUCAAAUUUAAUUUGUGCACGAAAAGUAUAUUUUCGAUCAUCGACAA
RNAcentral lists this long non-coding RNA (335 nucleotides) under Elaeis guineensis (African oil palm). Its description in RNAcentral is "long non-coding RNA (EGUI_LNC003608)". The record is from RNAcentral. Lineage: Eukaryota; Viridiplantae; Streptophyta; Magnoliopsida; Arecales; Arecaceae.